Non-coding RNA from Capsicum annuum, 104 nucleotides. The record is from Rfam. Lineage: Eukaryota; Viridiplantae; Streptophyta; Magnoliopsida; Solanales; Solanaceae.
AUGAGCCACGUGCAGGGAAACUUGCAUGUGUGGUUCUUGCUGGGGAAACAUAAUCCCUUGCACGCGUGUAUAAUAAGGAAGGAAACCUUGCUGGCUAUUUCUAU